This is a long non-coding RNA of Pezoporus occidentalis (night parrot), 499 nucleotides long. RefSeq lists it as uncharacterized. The transcript has 3 exons. Lineage: Eukaryota; Metazoa; Chordata; Aves; Psittaciformes; Psittacidae. The record is from RefSeq and is a predicted model, not a curated record.
AGCAAGCAUGCGUGCCCACCUCUAUGUAAAUGUUUUUCUUAUACAGCCUCUUCAACAAUCCUUUAAACUGGCUCCUAGAACAACUCUUCCCAUCAGGGAAUUGUCCAACUCUGAAAACUACAAUUUAUACUCUUACCUUGUUGUUUCAAUGGGAAAUACAAACCUCCAUCAGCUGACUGGAAGGGCAUCCUACAGGUUCAUGCCCAAACAGCACUUCUGUUAGGAACAGCACCUUUGCAAAACACCAUCAGACAGGACAUCACUGAAUUAAUCUUGGAGGUGAUUUAUGGAGACACGCGUUGCACACAGCUCCUAUCAAAACCAAGCACAACAUGAGCCCAGUCUGGCCCACGGUGUUUAUAUUCAUUUCCAGUUUGCAUCACAAAAAUAGAUGAUCUGUAAUCAUGGCCUGUCAGCUUGGUUUAACAAAAUGAACAUUUCUUUCAGGCUGUGUAUACCUCCACCAGCUCUGUAUAUUGGCUUAAUAAAACAGUAGUUA